Molecule: ribosomal RNA, 477 nt
Filed under: uncultured bacterium
Lineage: Bacteria
Description: partial 16S ribosomal RNA
Rfam family: Bacterial small subunit ribosomal RNA
Source: RNAcentral
GACGAACGCUGGCGGCGUGCUUAACACAUGCAAGUCGAACGGUAAGGCCCUUCGGGGUACACGAGUGGCGAACGGGUGAGUAACACGUGGGUGAUCUGCCCUGCACUUCGGGAUAAGCCCGGGAAACCGGGUCUAAUACCGGAUAGGACUGCGCGGUGCAUGCCGUGUGGUGGAAAGAUUAUCGGUGCAGGAUGGGCCCGCGGCCUAUCAGCUUGUUGGUGGGGUAAUGGCCUACCAAGGCGACGACGGGUAGCCGGCCUGAGAGGGCGACCGGCCACACUGGGACUGAGGCACGGCCCAGACUCCUACGGGAGGCAGCAGUGGGGAAUAUUGCACAAUGGGCGCAAGCCUGAUGCAGCGACGCCGCGUGAGGGAUGACGGCCUUCGGGUUGUAAACCUCUUUCAGCAGGGACGAAGCGUGAGUGACGGUACCUGCAGAAGAAGCACCGGCCAACUACGUGCCAGCAGCCGCCGUAA